UCUCUGAUAGUAUAUCGGUUAGUACACGCGCCUGUCACUCAGAUUUCGCGCGAAAGCUGGGUUCGACUCCCAGUCAGAGAG
Non-coding RNA from Armillaria luteobubalina, 81 nucleotides. The record is from the annotation of a GenBank genome assembly. Lineage: Eukaryota; Fungi; Basidiomycota; Agaricomycetes; Agaricales; Physalacriaceae.